AUUGAACGCUGGCGCAUGCUUUACACAUGCAAGUCGAACGGUAGAGGGGGCAACCCUCGAGAGUGGCGAACGGGUGAGUAAUAUAUCGGAACGUGCCCAGUCGUGGGGAUAACGUAGCGAAAGUUACGCUAAUACCGCAUACGAUCUACGGAUGAAAGCGGGGGACUCGCAAGAGCCUCGCGCGAUUGGAGCGGCCGAUAUCAGAUUAGGUAGUUGGUGGGGUAAAGGCUCACCAAGCCAACGAUCUGUAGCUGGUCUGAGAGGACGACCAGCCACACUGGAACUGAGACACGGUCCAGACUCCUACGGGAGGCAGCAGUGGGGAAUUUUGGACAAUGGGCGCAAGCCUGAUCCAGCAAUGCCGCGUGCAGGAAGAAGGCCUUCGGGUUGUAAACUGCUUUUGUACGGAACGAAACGGUCUGGGUUAAUACCCUGGGCUAAUGACGGUACCGUAAGAAUAAGCACCGGCUAACUACGUG
Molecule: ribosomal RNA, 479 nt
Filed under: uncultured bacterium
Lineage: Bacteria
Description: bacterial SSU rRNA
Rfam family: Bacterial small subunit ribosomal RNA
Source: RNAcentral